Molecule: ribosomal RNA, 448 nt
Filed under: uncultured bacterium
Lineage: Bacteria
Description: bacterial SSU rRNA
Rfam family: Bacterial small subunit ribosomal RNA
Source: RNAcentral
CAGGAUGAACGCUGGCGGUAUGCUUAACACAUGCAAGUCGAACGGUGUUUAGGACACAGUGGCGGACGGGUGAGUAACGCGUGAGAAUCUAGCUUCAGGUCUGGGACAACCACUGGAAACGGUGGCUAAUACCGGAUGUGCCGAGAGGUGAAAGGCUUGCUGCCUGAAGAUGAGCUCGCGUCUGAUUAGCUAGUUGGUGGGGUAAGAGCCUACCAAGGCGACGAUCAGUAGCUGGUCUGAGAGGAUGAUCAGCCACACUGGGACUGAGACACGGCCCAGACUCCUACGGGAGGCAGCAGUGGGGAAUUUUCCGCAAUGGGCGAAAAAGCCUGACGGAGCAAUACCGCGUGAGGGAGGAAGGCUCUUGGGUUGUAAACCUCUUUUCUUAGGGAAUAAAAUUGAAGGUACCUAAGGAAUAAGCAUCGGCUAACUCCGUGCCAGCAGCAGC